This 252-nucleotide ribosomal RNA is filed under the name uncultured bacterium. RNAcentral describes it as "partial 16S ribosomal RNA". It matches the Rfam family "Bacterial small subunit ribosomal RNA", at positions 524 to 776 of the family's 1533-position model. The record is from RNAcentral.
UACGUAGGGGGCAAGCGUUGUCCGGAAUCAUUGGGCGUAAAGCGCGUGUAGGCGGCCCGGUAAGUCCGCUGUGAAAGUCCAGGGCUCAACCCUGGAAUGCCGGUGGAUACUGUCGGGCUCGAGUCCGGAAGAGGCGAGUGGAAUUCCGGUGUAGCGGUGAAAUGCGCAGAUAUCAGGAGGAACACCGAUGGCGAAGGCAGCUCGCUGGGACGGUACUGACGCUGAGACGCGAAAGCGUGGGGAGCAAACAGG